GUAUUGCUUUGGCAAUACAUAUACUAAACAUUGGAAUGAUACACGUGAAGAUUAGCAUGGCCCCUUUGCAAGGAUGACACCCAAAUAUGUGAAGCAUUCCAUAUAUUU
Molecule: small nuclear RNA, 108 nt
Organism: Octopus sinensis (East Asian common octopus)
Lineage: Eukaryota; Metazoa; Mollusca; Cephalopoda; Octopoda; Octopodidae
Source: RefSeq, a predicted model, not a curated record